GAGGGUAUAGGUCAGUGGCAGAGUGUGUGCCUAGCAUGCACAAGGUCCUGGGUUCAAUCCCUGGUACCUACA
RNAcentral lists this transfer RNA (72 nucleotides) under Camelus bactrianus (Bactrian camel). It matches the Rfam family "tRNA". Rfam says of the family: Transfer RNA (tRNA) molecules are approximately 80 nucleotides in length. Their secondary structure includes four short double-helical elements and three loops (D, anti-codon, and T loops). Further hydrogen bonds mediate the characteristic L-shaped molecular structure. tRNAs have two regions of fundamental functional importance: the anti-codon, which is responsible for specific mRNA codon recognition, and the 3' end, to which the tRNAs corresponding amino acid is attached (by aminoacyl-tRNA synthetases). tRNAs cope with the degeneracy of the genetic code in two manners: having more than one tRNA (with a specific anti-codon) for a particular amino acid; and 'wobble' base-pairing, i.e. permitting non-standard base-pairing at the 3rd anti-codon position. RNAcentral also lists the same sequence under 2 other names. The record is from Rfam by way of RNAcentral. Lineage: Eukaryota; Metazoa; Chordata; Mammalia; Artiodactyla; Camelidae.